CCUACGGGUGGCAGCAGUGAGGAAUAUUGGUCAAUGGACGAGAGUCUGAACCAGCCAAGUAGCGUGAAGGAUGACUGCCCUAUGGGUUGUAAACUUCUUUUAUAUGGGAAUAAAAUGUUCCACGUGUGGGAUUUUGUAUGUACCAUAUGAAUAAGGAUCGGCUAACUCCGUGCCAGCAGCCGCGGUAAUACGGAGGAUCCGAGCGUUAUCCGAAUUUAUUGGGUUUAAAGGGAGCGUAGUUGGCUUGUUAAGUCAGUUGUGAAAGUUUGCGGCUCAACCGUAAAAUUGCAGUUGAGACUGGCAGUCUUGAGUACAGUAGAGGUAGGCGGAAUUCGUGGUGUAGCGGUGAAAUGCUUAGAUAUCACGAAGAACUCCGGUUGCGAAGGCAGCUCACUGGACUGUAACUGACACUGAGGCUCGAAAGUGUGGGUAGCAAACAGGAUUAGAUACCCUGGUAGUC
RNAcentral lists this ribosomal RNA (460 nucleotides) under uncultured bacterium. RNAcentral describes it as "partial 16S ribosomal RNA". It matches the Rfam family "Bacterial small subunit ribosomal RNA", at positions 338 to 795 of the family's 1533-position model. The record is from RNAcentral.